RNAcentral lists this ribosomal RNA (493 nucleotides) under uncultured bacterium. RNAcentral describes it as "partial 16S ribosomal RNA". It matches the Rfam family "Bacterial small subunit ribosomal RNA", at positions 28 to 506 of the family's 1533-position model. The record is from RNAcentral.
GACGAACGCUGGCGGCGUGCCUAAUACAUGCAAGUAGAACGCUGAAGGAGGAGCUUGCUUCUCUGGAUGAGUUGCGAACGGGUGAGUAACGCGUAGGUAACCUGCCUGGUAGUGGGGGAUAACUAUUGGAAACGAUAGCUAAUACCGCAUAAUAGCAGUUGUUGCAUGAUAACUGUUUGAAAGGUGCAAUUGCACCGCUACCAGAUGGACCUGCGUUGUAUUAGCUAGUUGGUGGGUAACGGCUCACCAAGGCGACGAUACAUAGCCGACCUGAGAGGGUGAUCGGCCACACUGGGACUGAGACACGGCCCAGACUCCUACGGGAGGCAGCAGUAGGGAAUCUUCGGCAAUGGACGGAAGUCUGACCGAGCAACGCCGCGUGAGUGAAGAAGGUUUUCGGAUCGUAAAGCUCUGUUGUAAGAGAAGAACGAGUGUGAGAGUGGAAAGUUCACACUGUGACGGUAUCUUACCAGAAAGGGACGGCUAACUACGU